RNAcentral lists this transfer RNA (84 nucleotides) under Camelus bactrianus (Bactrian camel). It matches the Rfam family "tRNA". From Rfam's summary of the family: Transfer RNA (tRNA) molecules are approximately 80 nucleotides in length. Their secondary structure includes four short double-helical elements and three loops (D, anti-codon, and T loops). The record is from Rfam by way of RNAcentral. RNAcentral also lists the same sequence under 1 other name. Lineage: Eukaryota; Metazoa; Chordata; Mammalia; Artiodactyla; Camelidae.
UCCAGAAUGGCUGAAUGCUUAAGGCCUCAGACUUGAGAUCCAGUGAGUUUCUAUCCUCUGUGGGUUCAAAUCCCACUUCUGGUA